CCACAAUUUCCUGUUACACUCAUUUGAAAAGACAAUGUUCCUGAGGAAGUUAUGAAGACGGCAAGCAAAGCCAUAAAUCCUCUGGAAGAAGUAGCAGCUCUCCAGAGGAGCCUAGUUUGAUCACACAGAGGAAUCAGCAGGGCCCUUUGCUUCAGGACAUAAAUGUGCUCUCGGCGGUGCUGGGGAAGCAAAGGCAGCACGAGAAGACUUUCAGCACGAGUGGUCUGCCCAUUUUCUGAAGCAGCCAAGAGUGAAAUUUGAUUUGAACCUAUGAAACAAAUCCUGCACUUCUGUAUAAUUGCUUAUGAAGAAUACGGUAAAAGGUGAGACUUAAACAGAAAAUAAAAAUCAGAAGUAAUAGGAUAGAAAUCACAUUUGGAUUCACAAGGUUUAUAUGCAGGUCUGGGUCAAAACCUUCACAGAAGUCCCUGGAUUUAGAUCUUAAGGCUGAAGUCAUUUCAGUAGUAAGAGAAAUGAUGUAAAACAGAGAAGAGGGGAAGGCAACCAGAAAGAUACUGGUGGAAGGCAGACGUAAUCCACCUAAAACAAUCCAUCUUUCCUGGGAUUCCUGUGUGGCUUUUUGUAGAUGGGACCUAUAGAGACUUACCACUAUUGAGCAGACUGCAGCUACUGUCUGCUGCCAGAGCCAGUGCGCUUUCUGCAGCUGGGACUCUUUUCACUGGUUGUGUACAAAAAGAGCUCUGAACCUGGCCCUGGAAGUAAAAGAUAAAAUAACAGGAAGGUUUUGUUCAGUCCUCUUAUUUGGGGGCAUGCAUUAGGCUGUGGAAAAUUCAAAGGGGUGGGGUUUCCUGUUUCUUUUCUAAUGAUGAUUUUUACAGUGUGCAAAUAUAGGAGGUGCACAUACAUGCGGUCAUUUUUCCUGCAGAAGCAUCGUGGAGCAGACAGAUAAAAUGAUAGAGCUAAUUAACUUAGGAGUGUUAUUUAAAGGUAAAGAGUUGAACAACACAACUGAUUGUUAAA
Aquila chrysaetos chrysaetos is the source of this 981-nucleotide long non-coding RNA. RefSeq lists it as uncharacterized. The record is from RefSeq and is a predicted model, not a curated record. NCBI's taxonomy places the organism in Eukaryota, Metazoa, Chordata, Aves, Accipitriformes, Accipitridae. The transcript is spliced from 3 exons.